Chlorocebus sabaeus (green monkey) is the source of this 134-nucleotide ribosomal RNA. NCBI's taxonomy places the organism in Eukaryota, Metazoa, Chordata, Mammalia, Primates, Cercopithecidae. The record is from Ensembl.
GUUUAAGGCCAUACCAUGCUGAAUGCACCCAAUCUCACCUCAUCUUGGAAGCUAAGGAGGGUUGGGCCUGUUUAGUACUUGGAUGGGAGAUAGUGCCAAGUUUUACCCAUAACUGAGCAGCACUGUUUCAAAAU